AAAAACACAAGACAUAACACAACAGAGAGACAAAUACAGGUCAGUUUUGUGCAUUGUUAAGUGCUAUGAUGGCUCUGGGAUAGAAGAUUCAGUUCUGGGCCAGAGGUGUGGAUCUCUGUUUUGGUGCCUUAUUGGUGUUUUUCCCCGCCAGUGUCCUGUUUCACGGCAUCGUCUUUCCUCUCUAUAUCCCACUGACCUCUUGCUGUCUCUGUUCUGUUGCAGGCGCUAAUCAUUGGAUUUGUAUGCAGUUUGGUAAAGUUAGUUCACCUGCCGCUGAACAUUACAUUCUUGCUUAUCUAGAACAGUAUCAAUGUCACUCACAAACUUUGGAAAGUCUGAAGUAUGAAGUGGAUGUACAACUGAUUUGAAAUUCAGUGCGUUACUUUUCAGUGGACCGCAUAUAGCAAAGACUUUCUCUGAAAUGGCCACUGAUUCUGGUUACAUCUCAUGUGACAAUCCUUGUUUCAUGGACACACAUGACCAUCACAUUAAUAAGGCCACAUGCAGUGAGUACACACAUCUCUGGAAGCGCGCUCCUGUUAGCGGUGUGCAUUAUCAGUGUCAGCAGACAGAGGAGAGAGCUCGUGUGCUGCCGUCUCUCCGGGAAAACAGACACGCCGCGCUAAAAAGCUCCACUCUGCAUGGAGGUGAGUGUGGGGUUGCUAGGUAACAGCCGGUCCUCUCCGAAUCCCCAUGACUGUUGCUGGAAUGUGAGCCGCCUCUUGCAGAGAUUUCUGAGAACUGCUCGCCCUCCUCCAGAGCAUGCCUGCCGCGGUCACAAGCACCCUUCAGACAACCUCCCAGAAUGCCGAGGAAUAACCCAGAAAUCAACUCACUAGACGCACAGACUGUGAUUUAAAAGGUGACAAAGCGCCGCCUUCGUUAGCCGGAACAGUCUGUGCGCGGGGUGAAGUGAGGCUCUGUUAUUGGAAUCCUCCACGGCUCUCCUCACCUCACUCGGCACAAUAGAGCAAUCAGACACAAGGGUGCUCGAGAGGAGACUAGGGUCCUUUGUCUGUGCCUCUUCUGGUUGCGCAUCCACAGGGUGUGAUGCGCUCCUCUCUUCCCCUGCAGUUGGUGCUGAUGAAAAGGACUCCAUCCUUCCACUCCUCUACAGCUUGUUGCUAGGGGCAACAGCAGUGAUGAAAGCUCUGAACCCUUUUUGAGGCUAAAGCUUUCGGGGUCUCGGUCUAGAGAUAGUCUCGGGUCUUUAGGAGAAGGGCAUUAACACAGGGAGCCUUCACAGGAGCAUUCACGAGCUCAGAUAGCAUUUCAGAUGACCACACUACACUAUAGGCUCUACUGGGGCUGUGGGAUGAAGCACUGCUUGAUCCCUUAGCUACAUCACCUUUCAUGCAAAAACAAUGGGAUCACCUAAUGGGAUUAAAAAUCCAUAGCAGAGCAAAAAAGACCAAAUCAAGAGAUGAAAUGAGAGAUGAAAUCAGGAGCAGCUAAGGAGCUAGUACACUUCUGUUGAAUAAUGAGUAUGUAAGCUAAGGAGCUAGUGCAUUUCUGUUGAAUAAUGAGUAUGUAAGCUAAGGAGCUAGUGCAUUUCUGUUGAAUAAUGAGUAUGUAAGCAAAGGAACUAGUACAUUUCUGUUGAAUAAUGAGUAUGUAAGCAAAGGAACUAGUGCAUUUCUGUUGAAUAAUGAGUAUGUAAGCAAAGGAACUAGUGCAUUUCUGUUGAAUAAUGAGUAUGUAAGCUAAGGAGCUAGUGCAUUUCUGUUGAAUAAUGAGUAUGUAAGCUAAGGAGCUAGUACAUUUCUGUU
Molecule: long non-coding RNA, 1769 nt
Organism: Clupea harengus (Atlantic herring)
Lineage: Eukaryota; Metazoa; Chordata; Actinopteri; Clupeiformes; Clupeidae
Source: Ensembl